Molecule: long non-coding RNA, 884 nt
Organism: Zingiber officinale
Lineage: Eukaryota; Viridiplantae; Streptophyta; Magnoliopsida; Zingiberales; Zingiberaceae
Exons: 3
Source: RefSeq, a predicted model, not a curated record
CCCAAUCCGGGAAACUCGCGUUACGGUGAAUAAAAAUAAUUGGGGUAACAUAAAAAAGCAACAGGAAUGAUCGAUGGUUUGGUAGGUAGGUAGAUCGUGAUCGGCAGCAGCGGUGGCAGCGGCGGCGGCGACGACGUCAUACGGUUGUAAUUGGAGUCGGUGGAGGGGAAGCUGGCGAUUAGGAGAUGAGGAACAAGCUUUGAACUCGAUUCCCGGCGCGAGAGUGCUAGUGUUGUCUGCAUUGAAGCCUGAACAAUGGAACAAUUUGUCACUCAACACAAGUUUCAGAAUUCUAUGAUCAGUGAGUCACUCAUGGGGAUUGCACUUACAAUCACUGUUCUUCCAGCCCAAGAUGUGCCUCUCUCGAUCGAAGACAACUUGAAGGCCGCUCAGGAAAUUUUCUGCAACAAAGCGUAUCAGAAUGUGCCAAGAAUUAACAAAGAGUGGUUAUUUAAGUCUUAAAUUUCUUCAAACAUGUUCAAUUAUCAAAAGCUUACGUCCAAAGCUUUUGAUACGAUCGAUAUUCACAAUAGUCAGGCAGUAGCCGACCAAUGACUUCUGCAUAAGACAGCGAGGAUCAUACUUUCCACGGCUUAUCAGAAAUAAACAUAAACAGGAUAAUCAUGUAGUAACCUCUGAGUGAAGCAUAAUGACUGGAUCGUGUACAGGAAAGAUGCUUCCCCCGUUUGUUGUGAAAUUUAUGUCAGGUAGCGAAACCGAAGUUUGUGUCGGGCUGCAGAAUAAAGCAUAUUUUAGAUGAUGCCCUUUGGAUGAGAUGCAAAUGGAUGUGUUACCUCAGCUUGUAACAAUAUUUGAAAGUAACAUUUGAGCCAAUGUUGAGUUUUCACUAGUCGAAUAACAACACUAGUAAACGAUUCUUCUUC